AUCCAAGGUGAUUCCCUCUCCAAGGGGCCAGCUAGUGCCUCUCUCAGGAAAGUAGCAACUUGGAAUAAAAUCUGGCAUGCCCAAGGUCUUCCGGGGAGAAGGGGAUGUCUUUCCUUUUGCCUUCUUUGGCUGCCUACAUAG
This is a small nucleolar RNA of Trichechus manatus latirostris (Florida manatee), 141 nucleotides long. RefSeq annotates it as small nucleolar RNA SNORA67. The transcript has a single exon. NCBI's taxonomy places the organism in Eukaryota, Metazoa, Chordata, Mammalia, Sirenia, Trichechidae. The record is from RefSeq and is a predicted model, not a curated record.